This is a long non-coding RNA of Tripterygium wilfordii, 2353 nucleotides long. RefSeq lists it as uncharacterized. Lineage: Eukaryota; Viridiplantae; Streptophyta; Magnoliopsida; Celastrales; Celastraceae. The record is from RefSeq and is a predicted model, not a curated record. The transcript is spliced from 3 exons.
GUGUUAGCUUUAGUUUGGCCACUUGAGAACAAAUUGACACCACAAUUUGAAAACUCUAAUGUUGUGCAGUUGGGUUUAAGCUCUGUCUGAUAUUUGCAUUCCGGUGGUUUGAAGGAACCAUUUGACAUGAAAAGCACUUUUCCCCUUUAAAGACAUCUGAUAAAAUUGGAUGCUGCAUGUAUGAUUACAACUUAGAAGCAAAGCAAAAUAAGUUUUUUUACUUAAACAAACUGUACUUAAAAAAAUAUAUUUUACAAAUCUACUUUUUGCACUUCAUAAUGAAAAUACAGCAACCAUACGCUGUUUCAAAUCUGUAGAAAAAGGACUCCUUGUCCAUACUUGUUAGUAAUCCAAAGUGCUUUCUUACAGUCACCUUGUGCUAGGAUCCCUUAUUGCCCUAUGUGCAUGAGGUCCAAAUUCAAUUUAGUUCCAUAACACCAACAAAUUAUCUGAAAGUUAAAAGCUUUUCCCCCCUUUUUGACUGUGUUUAUUUGAUUCAAAGAAUAUGAUCCUAAAAUCCAUCUAAAGGAGGGGGAAGUCUUCUUUAAGCCAGUAUCCUCGGGGCCCAAGUGUAGUGGUGUUUUUAUAGUAAAUGAGUCAUCAUUUGGUGAUGCAGGAAAUUACUGUCUACUAAAUUUGCUAACAGCUUUUAUGGAAGAGUAAUUCCGGCUAGAUUUUCUCUGACUUAGCUAAUUUUACUGUGCUAAUAUUACUUUGCUAUAUCUGAUCUUAGCUAAUUUUUAAUGUUAGUGAGAAACAAAAAAUACCUGCCUGUAUGAGAAAGAGGUUUUCUGGAAAAAGGGUGAGAGGUUCGCUGACGAACUCUAUAUUUUUGCUUAACUUCCUUGGGAGUCUCUCAAUUUUGCGGCCACCUGUUACAUCUUUUUCCUCAGACAGCCAAAACAGAAACUAUUUUUUUAAUGUAUCUUGUUUGUCUGUUUCUAUCUUUUGACCAAUUUUGUUUUUCAAGUAGAUAGAUAGAGAAGCCCAAGUCUUUUUGCUGAACUGCAUGAACAAAAACAUGUUUUUAUCCCCUCCUCCUUUAUUGAUGGCAUGCUCUGCAACUUUUGAUUAUAAAUGUUCUUGAUCAUAUUUGAUGUUUCAAAAUGAGAUGGGUUUUCAAAUAGAUCUUAGUGCUGUUGAUAAUGUAUGUGUUAAAAUUAUGAAAUUUUGAUCAAAAAAGCCACUGCAAUUUUUCUUUUCUUUUUUCCCCCACAAUUUGGGGCCUCGCAAGUUCUAUUAUCAUUUCUUGAUGAAAAGAGCGUUUUAUUAUUUUUUUUAUGCCAAAAUCUAAUGGUACUUGAAAUCCAAUUGAUGAGAAUUGUUUGGGUUGGGGUAUAAGAUAAUCGCCAUGAAAUUUGAGGGGCUUGAUGGCUGGAGAAUCUUCUUCCAAGGCUAGUUCAAAUAUAUUUGAUGUAAUUGAAAAUGCGAUUUUAGUUGCAGCUGUAGAUUGCCCAGAUCAGUUCAAGCAUCAGAGGGGUCUGAUUGCCGAGAAAGUUCUCUCUUUUUGUGAAACUCAUUGUUAUGUGCAUAACCAUAGUGAUUCUCUGAGACAUGCAAACAUCGAUAAUGGCUAUGAAGACUUCGUCAGUGGUUAGAGGAUGAUGGUAAAAGAGUGACUCAAUGCUACAACAGCUAUGCCAGGUUAUGGUUUAGCUACUUUGUUCCCAUUUUGUUCUCGCAUAGUCAUCUUCCAGCUCAGAUUAUUGUUAUAUAAGUUCAUUCUGAUAAUUCUGGGAGUGUGGAAUGUCAUUCAGCCUCUAAUCAUUCAGUUAUUCAUGAGGAAGUUUUUACUUUGAAAUUAACUCUGCUUGCUAAGUCAAUUGCUUUCCUUAUGAUUUGCUGAAAAUUUCCUUUUGUAAAUCAUGGUUGUUGUUCGACUUUAACACUGUGCAAUCUACUGCAUUUCCUUUUCCUGUUGCGUUAAACCAACUGAAGCAGAGAGGUCCUUCAAAGUUCAAGGAUUUAAUUGAACAAUUUCAGAGUUAAAGACCAAAUAAACAGAGUUCAGAAGUUCAGAACCAACAGCACCUUUGCCUUCUGUAUUGUGGUGAUCAAUCUCAGUUUGAAGGUUUUAUACAUGGAGAUUAUGUUUUUCUUUGUUUCUUUGUGCAACAGAGAAGCAAUGGAUGCAAACUAAGGAUCUACAAGAGAAUGGCUUAAAGCUCAAGUUCGAAGUUCAAACCAAAAGGUCGUAUCUAAAACUGAUACUCACAAAAGUCCGGAUGAAAUCACAUUUCUCAAAAGGCCAUCCAAGAUCAACAGGGGGUUGAGUUUCUAGAUGAUGCUGCCAUCAAAGCAAAACUUGAGGCCAGAAAGCGGAGCAAGAUGAUUACCAAGAAGCAGAAAAAGA